Non-coding RNA from Myodes glareolus (Bank vole), 1857 nucleotides. NCBI's taxonomy places the organism in Eukaryota, Metazoa, Chordata, Mammalia, Rodentia, Cricetidae. The record is from RefSeq and is a predicted model, not a curated record.
AGCCACCGUGUGGUUGCUGGGACUUGAAUUCAAGAUCUCUGGAAGAAUGGCCAGUGCUCUAAACCUCUGAGCUCUCUCUCCUGCCCCAAAUGAUCAUGUCUCAGCUGGAAGUUGAAGAGCAGGAAUUUGGGCUGGCGAGAUGACUCAGUGGUUUAGAGCACUGGCUGUUCUUGCAGAGGACCUGGGUUCAGUUCUCAUCACCAUGGCUUACAGUCACGAGUAACUCCAGUUCCAGAGGAUCCAAUGCUCUCUUCUGGGCUCAUGAACACUGUACACAUGUGGUAGGUACACAGACCUACAUGAAAGCAGAACACCAAUAUACAAUAAAAAAAAAAAAAAGGAAUUUACAGGGCUGCCACUGCCAAUCCUGAUGGAGUUCAAUCCAUGGUACUUGCAUGAUGGAAACAAGAGAGCUGACUUCAGAGUUCUGACCUGCUGUGGCUCCCAUGAGCCUACCCACCUCCUCCCCACAAAAUAGUGAAACAAGUAAAUUACAUACCAAGUUUAUGCGUUACUGUCUUAAUUUUGAGUCUUUUUUUGUGGUUAUCUUUUUGUUUGUGCUCUAACAAAGCUUGCCUGAAGAUGAGAGAGUGGAGCUAGCCACUAGUUAACCCUAGAGGCCUGGAGGUCUGUACUGACAAAUAGGAAUUGCCCUUUUAUGGCUGAGGAGUUCGCAAGGUGAGAAUUGGCUGUGGCUGCCUCCUUUGUCUCUCUGCUCUUUCAGCAUUUACCCUGACAUCUGGCUCUGGAUUUUUAUUAUUAAGAACAAUUAGAACUUGUGCAGCACUUUUUCAUCUGGAACUCUGUAGGUGAAGGAAUCACUUAUUCCUGUUUUCAGAGUUUCUCUUUUCCCUGUGUAUCAUGAUUGUUUGCUAAAAAAGUAAAGUGUUGUUGACCUGUUAAGUCAGAGAGUGAUAACUACAAUAUUUGGAAACAUACUGUUCUUUCCCUAUCAAUGUGUUGAUGACCAUUUUCAAAAGAUCUUUAUGUGUUGUUGGUGUAUGCCACAGAUGUGCCACAUGUGUGUGUGCCCACAGAGGCCAAGGCACGAAACUUUGAAGAGUGUAUGAGUAGAAAUCAGGUAUAAGCUUUUUACCAGGUAAGUGCACUUAGGUUCAUCCAAGUUGUUCCAAGUAUCACUGCUUCUCAGGGCUCGAGUAUGUUGGAAAUGCUUGCCUCACACAUGCAAGGCCCUGGAUUCUAUCCAAACAGUAAAGAGAGGGGGGCUUAUUUUAUGAUAUACAUAUACAGUUAUUCACUUGUAGAAAGAAUUUGAAUUAUUCAGCUUUUUGAUUGUACAAAUUGGUGUUGUACAUUUGUGUGGCAGUUUUAUUUAAGUGUUAAGUUUUUGUUUCUCAUGAAUAAAUGUUCAGUAGUACAAAUGCUGGGUUACAUGUUAGUUUUAUUUGUGUGCAAAUGUGUGUGAACAACUAUGCCACAGUGCACUUGUAGAUGCCAGAGAUUGAACUCAGUUUGUUAGGUUUGCCAAGAGAGGUCUUUACCCACUUUGAGCUAUCUUGCUAGCUCCAUGUUACUAUUUUUAGACAGAUUCUAUGUAGUCUUGAUUGUCCUGUAACUUGUUACAUAGAUCUGCCCAUCUUUGCCUCCUGAGCGGCGGGAUUAAAAGUCUGAUUCACCAUACCUAGCCCUGCAUUUUGUUUUGUUUUGUUUUUCUUAGGGGACCUGGAGAGAUGGCUUGAGCUGUUAAGAUCUGUUGUGAUUAUUGUUACUUCAGAAGACCUGGGUUUGGUUCCCAGCACCCACGUGGUGGCUCACAACCAUCUAUAAUUCUAGUUUCAGGGGAUCAAAUGCCCACUUGUGGCUUCUGUAGGAAACCACACACAGCAUAUAUUCACA